RNAcentral lists this ribosomal RNA (253 nucleotides) under uncultured bacterium. RNAcentral's name for it is "partial 16S ribosomal RNA". It matches the Rfam family "Bacterial small subunit ribosomal RNA", at positions 524 to 776 of the family's 1533-position model. The record is from RNAcentral.
GAAAGAGGGUGCAAGCGUUGUUCGGAAUUACUGGGCGUAAAGCGCGCGUAGGUGGCUUCGUGUGUCGGUUGUGAAAUCCCUUGGCUCAACCAAGGAAGUGCGCCCGAAACUGUGGAGCUCGAGUUUGGGAGAGGAUGGUAGAAUUCUCAGUGUAGAGGUGAAAUUCGUAGAUACUGGGAGGAACACCGGUGGCGAAGGCGACCAUCUGGACCAACACUGACACUGAUGUGCGAAAGCGUGGGUAGCAAACAGG